This 123-nucleotide transfer RNA is filed under the name Candidatus Competibacteraceae bacterium. RNAcentral describes it as "tRNA-OTHER". It matches the Rfam family "tRNA". Rfam says of the family: Transfer RNA (tRNA) molecules are approximately 80 nucleotides in length. Their secondary structure includes four short double-helical elements and three loops (D, anti-codon, and T loops). Lineage: Bacteria; Pseudomonadati; Pseudomonadota; Gammaproteobacteria; Candidatus Competibacteraceae. The record is from RNAcentral.
GGCUAGGUAGUUUAACGGCAGAACGCGGAAAACGUCUUGACUAUCUUUUGUCCCUCGGGAAUGCCUUGUUAGGACUACAUCCAUUACAAGGACGAGAUGUGGGUUCGAAUCCCACCCUAGCCA